GUCUAUGGCCAUGCCACCCUGAACAAGCCCAAUGUCUGAUCUCGGAAGCUAAGCAGGGUCAGACCUGGUUAGUACUUGGAUGGGAGACCACCUAGGAAGACCAGGUGCUGUAGGCA
This 116-nucleotide ribosomal RNA is filed under the name Pteropus alecto (black flying fox). The record is from RNAcentral. Lineage: Eukaryota; Metazoa; Chordata; Mammalia; Chiroptera; Pteropodidae.